Molecule: ribosomal RNA, 276 nt
Filed under: Triticum aestivum (bread wheat)
Lineage: Eukaryota; Viridiplantae; Streptophyta; Magnoliopsida; Poales; Poaceae
Description: partial small subunit ribosomal RNA
Source: RNAcentral
AUGAAGGGGCUAGCGGACGAGCUCGCUGCUGCAGGGAAACCCCUCGAUGAAGAUGAUGUCGCGUCGCACAUCUUGGAGGGUCUCAUGCACGAGCCCGACUACAACGGGUUCGUCACCGCCAUCUCCGCACGCGCUGUCACCAAUCAACCGAUCAGCCUCAGCGAACUCUUCUCGUUGUUGCUCUCUGUGGAGUCCCGGAUCGCCGCCCAGCACGCCGCCUACACUGCUCACCACUCCGCCAACCUCGCUGCGAAAGGUGGUCGUGGUGGCUACGGC